AGUGAACGCUGGCGGUAGGCCUAACACAUGCAAGUCGAACGGCAGCACAGUAAGAGCUUGCUCUUACGGGUGGCGAGUGGCGGACGGGUGAGGAAUACAUCGGAAUCUACUUUUUCGUGGGGGAUAACGUAGGGAAUCUUACGCUAAUACCGCAUACGACCUACGGGUGAAAGCAGGGGAUCUUCGGACCUUGCGCGAUUGAAUGAGCCGAUGUCGGAUUAGCUAGUUGGCGGGGUAAAGGCCCACCAAGGCGACGAUCCGUAGCUGGUCUGAGAGGAUGAUCAGCCACACUGGAACUGAGACACGGUCCAGACUCCUACGGGAGGCAGCAGUGGGGAAUAUUGGACAAUGGGCGCAAGCCUGAUCCAGCAAUACCGCGUGGGUGAAGAAGGCCUUCGGGUUGUAAAGCCCUUUUGUUGGGAAAGAAAAGCAGCAGGUUAAUACCCCGCUGUUCUGACGGUACCCAAAGAAUAAGCACCGGCUAACUUCGUG
This 492-nucleotide ribosomal RNA is filed under the name uncultured bacterium. RNAcentral describes it as "partial 16S ribosomal RNA". It matches the Rfam family "Bacterial small subunit ribosomal RNA", at positions 29 to 507 of the family's 1533-position model. The record is from RNAcentral.